Molecule: long non-coding RNA, 395 nt
Organism: Oncorhynchus tshawytscha (Chinook salmon)
Lineage: Eukaryota; Metazoa; Chordata; Actinopteri; Salmoniformes; Salmonidae
Exons: 4
Source: RefSeq, a predicted model, not a curated record
UGUAACAUGUUUUCCUUGUCUUUUCCACAGCCUGAGAGAAUAGACCCAAGUGCCUCCAGACAAGGCUAUGAUGUCCGGUCAGACGUAUGGAGUUUGGGGAUAACACUGUACGAGCUGGCGACUGGGCGGUUUCCCUACCCAAAGUGGAACAGUGUGUUUGACCAGUUGACACAGGUGGUGAAGGGAGAACCUCCACAGCUUACCAACUCAGAAGACAGGCAGUUCUCCCCAAAUUCAUCAACUUUGUCAAUCUGUGCCUAACAAAGGAUGAGUCAAAAAGGCCAAAGUACAAAGAGCUUCUGAAACAUGCUUUCAUUCUGAUGUAUGAGGAGCGCUCAGUGGAUGUUGCCAGUUACAUCUGCAGAAUCCUGGAUCAGAUGCCUACUUCUCCCAGC